Molecule: ribosomal RNA, 452 nt
Filed under: uncultured organism
Description: partial 16S ribosomal RNA
Rfam family: Bacterial small subunit ribosomal RNA
Source: RNAcentral
ACGUACACUCCUGCGGGAGGCAGCAGUGGGGAAUAUUGGACAAUGGGCGCAAGCCUGAUCCAGCCAUGCCGCGUGAGUGAUGAAGGCCCUAGGGUUGUAAAGCUCUUUUGUGCGGGAAGAUAAUGACGGUACCGCAAGAAUAAGCCCCGGCUAACUUCGUGCCAGCAGCCGCGGUAAUACGAAGGGGGCUAGCGUUGCUCGGAAUCACUGGGCGUAAAGGGUGCGUAGGCGGGUCUUUAAGUCAGGGGUGAAAUCCUGGAGCUCAACUCCAGAACUGCCUUUGAUACUGAAGAUCUUGAGUUCGGGAGAGGUGAGUGGAACUGCGAGUGUAGAGGUGAAAUUCGUAGAUAUUCGCAAGAACACCAGUGGCGAAGGCGGCUCACUGGCCCGAUACUGACGCUGAGGCACGAAAGCGUGGGGAGCAAACAGGAUUAGAAACCCCGGUAGUCCCA